Molecule: RNA transcript, 3172 nt
Organism: Zea mays
Lineage: Eukaryota; Viridiplantae; Streptophyta; Magnoliopsida; Poales; Poaceae
Exons: 8
Source: RefSeq, a predicted model, not a curated record
GCUGCGGCUAUGGGCCGCUAUUGCGCUCAAAAGAGUAAAAAACCGACAGCGACAGGGCAAGGAGCCAGGGCCGCUCCGCUCCGCUCCGCUCGUGCUCUGCUCCUGCUCUCUCUCUCUCUCGGCGUCGAUUGGGCGACCGCCGCCGCCUCCCCCAGGUCUUCGCUGGGCCCGUCGCCGGCGCCGAGCACCCACCAGGUACGUCCAUCCAUUCUCAUCCCCACUCCCUAGGUGCUGUACGAAACCGAGCACCCAAACCCUAACUUAAUCUAUUUGGCUAUUUGUAUUCGGAUCUGAUUCCAAUCAAAGCGCUAAGAAUGGUCGCUGGCUUAUGUGAAAUUCUCUGUGGCUACGAACUCCCCCUGUGUCCAGCCUAGCAUGCCCCUGAGGCGUACACCUGCCGCCAUCUCCUUCCCCUGUCGUCGUAUAGAUGAGCAACUGAAUUAGCAAACCUAGGUAACGUGUGAUAUUGCCUAAGCUGCAUCUCCACACAAAGUUACUAAUUGUUUUGCCUUUGUAAUGGCAUGAUUCAGUUUAAGAUAUUGUGAUUGUAGUACUUUUGGGCAGGGGAUAAAACAAUUUUUGUUAUGGCUGAUCUGUUAGCCCUAAGGAAUUUGUUACUGCUUUUUAGGAAUUAUAUAUACUAGUUAUAGAUGAGCAAAUGAAUUAGCACACCUGGAUAAUGUAUGCUUCUAUUGCCUAAGCUGCAUCUCCAUACAAAGUUAGUAAUUAGCAGACCCCUAUUUAAUAUGUUUGGUUCGAAUCUUACACUGGUCUUGCAUUGUCUUAUGCAUGGCACAUGGCAGUAUGAUCAGUGACUCAGUUUUACUUUGAAAUUAAGCUACUUGCAGGUACAUGGUAGUUGCUUUUUGCUGGGUGAGUGAUAUGCGUGGCACAUGGCUUUAUGUAUUGUUUCUUUUCAAUCAGUGAGUGAUAUUUCUUGAAUUCUCUUAAAACUUCAUUAGGAUCUUUGAGGUUUGAUGCAACAGCUGAAGUUUAGUUUUCUAUUUAUACCACUGGAACUUCGUCCCGUUCAGUUCCUGAUAAGCUAAGUGCUUGUCCCUGAAAUAGAAUUUGUAAUCAACAAACCAGUCACAUGUUUGUUGCAUUCUUCAGGAUGAAACUGAGCCCGCUAUGUAUUCUUUUUCACUGUUUAUAAUUGUUGUUUCCUAAUAUACUACUGUGAAUGCUUGUUCUUUGUUUAUUUUCGUAUAUUGUUAAUUCCUAAUAUACAUAAUUUCCCCAAAUAACAUGAUAAUAAAUAUCGGAAAAGUGGAGAACUGAACGACAAUGUUUAGCGCAAUGGUGAACAGUGCUUUAUAGUUGGCAUUAAUCUUAGUUCCUACAUGUUGUUAAUAUGUAGUCUAUAUACUUUGAUUAUUUUUUAUUGAUUACAAAAUAUUGGGAGGACCAUAAUAAUUUUGAAAAAAAUGCUUGGAUUGUUUCUGAGGAUUUGGGCUUGGAAAGGCGUAAGAAAUCUGAAAGUUUCUUGUGUUGGGAGAGGACUAAUGGGUUACAUUAGGGAUAAGGUUAAUCAGGGGCAAGUUUUACUUGAUAAUGUGGACAUCAAGACGUUGCAAUUAAAGCGACUUAGAGACCAGAUCGGAUUGGUGAAUCAGGAACCUACUCUUUUUGCAACUACAAUUCUUGAGAAUAUUCUUUUUGGCAAACCUGAGGCGACAAAGGCAGAGGUUGGGUCUACGACUACUUCCGCAGUUUUCUCCUAAACACAUUUGCUCUGAUGUUGUUUGUCACCAUAACUGUAGAUUAAAGGAGCCCUAGCUUUCGGAGGACAACCCAGAUGCCUUCAAAGUUCAAAAUGACGGUGAUGAAGGCGCUGAACCGCGCUGGUGGCAAGGCUGGAAACAAGGGUGCUGAAGCUGCUCUUACUUCCAUUGAGAUGGCCUCUCUGUUCCGGCAUCACUUAGGCUGACACUUUGCAUAUUCUGGUUUCUAUACACGAGGCAAGACAUCAUUUCUUCCUAUCAAGAGUUUCGGCUAAUAGAGCUUUUCUGCCGUGGCUAGUAUAAUUUAUUUUCAAUUCUGUUGGUUCGGUGCUGAUUUGUUGCUUUCUUUCUAUGAGAUUUGAAAAGCUCACAAGACAUGUUUCUAAACCUGGCACAAUGAAUAAUUGUCACCAUGAGGUCAUGAAUAAGCACAACUGUCACGGCGUGUGCUAGGGCAGUGGGGCUGUCGCCAAGGACAUGCAGCUUGUGAAGCAGUGCUGGAGCCGUCCCCAUCGCCGAGCAGCUCGUGAGGGUAAUUCAAGCACGCUAAUGCAGUCUGGUCCUACAAUAGCGAUCCUUGGUCUUCACCUACAUCUUCACCUACCGAACAUCAGGUGGAAAACUGGUCCAAAGUGGGAAUGUCAGAAUCUGAAUUUCAAACUGCAAUAUCUGAAACUGAAGAUUUUAUAUGCUGAAGCAGCUUUGGAAGCCUGUUGGUGGCUGAUCCAUACAGCUAUGGGUUACAGUUUAUGCACCAAAGUGAAAGACCACAUGUUGGGGUAUAAGUUUGGUUAAGGUUCAUACCCCUGAAACUAUUUGGAACUAGUAGAAACAGUGGUCCAAAAAUGUAGUGUUUAAUUCUGGAUUUUCAGACUUAGUGAAAAACCAAAGUCUGAAUUUAUGUGUUUAAUGCCAACUUUGGGCUUUGAUGGUUUGGAAUCCAUAGGGUUCUAGCUAAGGGUCAUUGUACCAAACUUGUGGAGCAACAUGUGGAGCACCAAUUUGAUUGAGCAACUUGGCCUCAGAAGCAUUUGGAACUUGGAGAAAAGGGUGAGGUUGUGUCGUUUCAAAGAGAGCAAGAGAAGUUCAGAGACCUUGUUUGAAAUCUAGUACAAACAAACAACUUUUAAACCAAUGGAAAUUUGGACAUGAGCUCUAUACACCAAAGUUGGGUUUGAGCUUAAGGUUAACCUUGUUUUUAGUAGGAUGCAAUAAAUUGAUCAAACCCUUGAAGCAGAUCAAGUCCAUUUUCAACUCUAAACUAGCCAAAAAGUGGAUUUUAAGAUCUAGCUAUGUUUUACUAAAAGUCCAUAUAUCAAAGUUGUGGAGCUUGAAAAAGUGAACAAUUUUCAUAUUUGGAGCUCUCCAAGUGAUGUGGGAGAAUUUGAAGUAAUCUGCAAAAGUUCAGAUUUGGGUCAGUUGGAAUAAGCCCAAAACAGUUUUGUUUA